CUGAGAAAGGCCCCUGGCCACCGAGAGGGCGCUCAGGCCCGCGCCGGACACGGCUCUGGAGGGGCCUCCUACCGGGACUUACGGAGUUCAGUCCCUCAGUGUGAGUCACCUCCGUCCUGAGGUGAAGUUUGAGGCCAGGACCCCGGGAAGACGCAGACGCAGGCCGGACAUAAAAAAUCUAGAGAGCGCGGCCCACCAGACGCAGGCGGGGAAAGUGACUCGAGAUUCUAGGGACUUCUGUGACCUCCGAAUAAAGUGGAGGCCUCUGGGGCGACAACUCUGCGGUGCUGCGCUGGAGCGGUGGGGAAAGCUUUGCUGACCGGAUAUUAAACUGCGAGAAUUGUCGCACGUGAACACCGUCCUGCCUGUUGUGAUUGUGUCAAACAAAGACCAGGAAUCGGUGUGACCAUCUCCACAGGCCAUCCGGGCAGUGCUCUCUCCCAGAUGAGAGUGGUCUGUACUGAGAUUUCCGAGGAAUGGAGACGCCACUACCACAUGCUCUCUUCCCUGUCUGGAUCCCUAGCCUUGGCCUGCAGGGAAGUUCUUUCUGACGUCUACCCUCAUUCUCUCCGGCAACCUCAGUGCAUUUCCUCUGACCCAGUCCCCAGGGAAGAUGGAGAACAGCAAGCAUCCCCAUCCCCACCACGCCUAUGAUAACUACUCUUCAGAAAUUUGCAAGUUGCAAUUCCCUCCUUAGUUUUUCUCCAAGGUGGAAAACUCCAACUCAUCUUUCUAAUAAAUCACUUUUUUCUUUUUUUCUUUCCAUCACA
Galeopterus variegatus (Sunda flying lemur) is the source of this 770-nucleotide long non-coding RNA. RefSeq lists it as uncharacterized. The transcript is spliced from 2 exons. The record is from RefSeq and is a predicted model, not a curated record. NCBI's taxonomy places the organism in Eukaryota, Metazoa, Chordata, Mammalia, Dermoptera, Cynocephalidae.